GAUCUCCACUGAUCUAGAGAGAAACAAACUCUUCCGAUCCGCCGCAACCUUACAGAUUCGAGCAUACAACUUCACAGAUCCGAUCACUCACGCGCCGCAUACAACUUCACAAAUCUGAUCAGUCACGCGCCGCAACCUGUUGAUGCAACGUUCGAGCUGCCCAGCUAACCUGCAAGCACAUCAAAGAAACACAAAUACAAUUCGAGAACAACGAAUAACAGCUCAGAUUCGAGGAAAAAUGAAGAACUUAUCGCCGG
Molecule: unclassified non-coding RNA, 257 nt
Filed under: Hevea brasiliensis (rubber tree)
Lineage: Eukaryota; Viridiplantae; Streptophyta; Magnoliopsida; Malpighiales; Euphorbiaceae
Source: RNAcentral